AGGGUGCAGGGCGGAUGCCUUGGCACUAGGAGCCGAUGAAGGACGUGAUAAGCUGCGAUAAGCUUCGGGGAGUUGCACGUAAACUUUGAUCCGAAGAUUUCCGAAUGAGGAAACUCACUUAGAGUAAUGUCUAAGUAUCAUUAAGUGAAUACAUAGCUUAAUGAGGGGAACUCAGGGAACUGAAACAUCUAAGUACCUGAAGGAAGAGAAAGAAAUUCGAUUCCGUAAGUAGCGGCGAGCGAACGCGGAUUAGCCCAAACCAAUAAAGUUUUCUUUAUUGGGGUUGCGGACAUAUCAUAACGAAGAGGUAUCGUAAUUGAAGAGGUUUGGAAAGACCCACCACAGAAGGUAAUAGUCCUGUAUGUUAAACGAGAAGACUUUAGAUAUGAUCCAGAGUACCACGGGACACGUGAAACCCUGUGGGAAGCAGGAGGGACCACCCUCCAAGGCUAAAUACUACCUAGUGACCGAUAGCGUAUAGUACCGUGAGGGAAAGGUGAAAAGAACCCCGGGAGGGGAGUGAAAUAGAACCUGAAACCCUGCACUUACAAGCUGUGGAAGCACAUUUCUUGUGUGACCGCGUACUUUUUGUAGAACGGGCCAACGAGUUACGUUAAGUAGCAAGGUUAAGCACUUAAGGUGUGGAGCCGUAGCGAAAGCGAGUUUUAACUGAGCGUUCAGUUACUUGACGUAGACCCGAAACCGGGCGACCUACCCAUGAGCAGGAUGAAGCGAAAGUAAAAUUUCGUGGAGGUCCGAACCCACGAGCGUUGAAAAGCUCGGGGAUGACUUGUGGGUAGCGGUGAAAUUCCAAUCGAGCCCGGAGAUAGCUGGUUCUCCCCGAAAUAGCUUUAGGGCUAGCCUCAAGGUGAGAGAUACGGAGGUAGAGCACUGAAUGUCCUAGGGGGUAUUGCACCUACCGAAGACUAUCAAACUCCGAAUGCCGUCAUCUUAUACUUGGGAGUCAGACUGUGGGUGAUAAGAUUCAUAGUCGAAAGGGCAACAGCCCAGAUCGUCAGCUAAGGUCCCUAAAUGUAAGUUAAGUGGUAAAGGAUGUGGGAUUGCACAGACAACCAGGAUGUUGGCUUAGAAGCAGCCACUCAUUCAAAGAGUGCGUAAUAGCUCACUGGUCGAGUGAUCCUGCGCCGAAGAUUUCCGGGGCUAAAACUUACUACCGAAGCUACGGCAUCAGUAAUGAUGGGUAGGGGAGCUUCCCAUACGGGUUGAAGCAUGACCGUAAGGACAUGUGGACAGUAUGGGAGUGAGAAUGUUGGCAUGAGUAGCGAGAUGUGGGUGAGAAUCCCACAGGCCGUAAACCCAAGGUUUCCAGGGGAAGGUUCGUCCGCCCUGGGUUAGUCGGGACCUAAGCUGAGGCCGAAAGGCGUAGGUGAUGGACAACAGGUUGAUAUUCCUGUACUACCGAUAACCGUUUGAGAGAAGGGAUGACACAGUAGGAUAAGCUAAGCACACUGUUGGUUAUGUGUGCCCAAGCAUUGAGGCAGUCAAAGUAGGCAAAUCCGCUUUGAUAAUGCUGGGAUGUGAUGGGGAGCGAAAUUUAGUAGCGAAGUAGCUGAUUUCACACUGUCAAGAAAAGUCUCUAUCGAGGUUAAAGGUACCCGUACCGCAAACCGACACAGGUGGGUGAGGAGAGUAUCCUAAGGCCAGCGAGAGAACUGUUGUUAAGGAACUCGGCAAAAUGACCCCGUAACUUAGGGAUAAGGGGUGCCACCAUCAGGUGGCCGCAGAGAAUAGGCCCAAGCGACUGUUUACCAAAAACAUAGGUUUCUGCUAAGUCGCAAGACGAUGUAUAGGAGCUGACGCCUGCCCGGUGCUGGAAGGUUAAGGGGAUCUGUUAGAGCAAUCGAAGCAGUGAACUUAAGCCCCAGUAAACGGCGGCCGUAACUAUAACGGUCCUAAGGUAGCGAAAUUCCUUGUCGGGUAAGUUCCGACCCGCACGAAAGGCGUAACGAUUUGGGCACUGUCUCAACAACAGACUCGGUGAAAUUGUAAUUCCGGUGAAGAUGCCGGAUACCUGCGACAGGACGGAAAGACCCCAUGGAGCUUUACUGUAGCUUGACAUUGGGUCUUGGUACUACAUGUACAGGAUAGGUGGGAGGCUUUGAAACCAGGACGCCAGUUUUGGCGGAGCCAUCCUUGGGAUACCACCCUUGUAGUACUGGGACUCUAACCAUAGGCCAUGAAUCUGGUCUUGGGACACUGUCAGGUGGGCAGUUUGACUGGGGCGGUCGCCUCCCAAAAGGUAACGGAGGCGCUCAAAGGUUCUCUCAGUACGGUCGGAAAUCGUACGUAGAGUGUAAAGGCAAAAGAGAGCUUGAUUGCAAGACAUACAGGUCGAGCAAGGAUGAAAAUCGGACUUAGUGAUCCGGUGGUUCUGCGUGGAAGGGCCAUCGCUCAACGGAUAAAAGCUACCCUGGGGAUAACAGGCUUAUCUCCCCCAAGAGUCCACAUCGACGGGGAGGUUUGGCACCUCGAUGUCGGCUCAUCACAUCCUGGGGCUGUAGUAGGUCCCAAGGGUUGGGCUGUUCGCCCAUUAAAGUGGUACGCGAG
Molecule: ribosomal RNA, 2568 nt
Filed under: Clostridioides difficile
Lineage: Bacteria; Bacillati; Bacillota; Clostridia; Peptostreptococcales; Peptostreptococcaceae
Description: bacterial LSU rRNA
Rfam family: Bacterial large subunit ribosomal RNA
Source: RNAcentral